ACAACCAGCAGCUGAGGUUCCUGCAACAGAACAACCAGCCGCUGAGGCUCCUGCCCCAGAAUCAACCACCGAAGCACCAAAGGAAGAAACCACCGAGGCACCAACAGAAACAGUAGAAAAAACAACUACAGAAGUAGCCCCAGAGGAGCCUAAAGAAGUUCCAGUUGAGACCGAGGAGGUGGUGGCAAAGGAGACAGAGGAAGAGAAGCCAGCAGAAGAGAAAUCAGAGGAGAAAACUGAAGAAGUGAAAGAAGAAGCAGAGGAGCCUAAAGAAACUACUGAAACAGAAUCAGCAGCAGCAGCACCACCAGCAACCACAGAGGAAGAGAACAAACCAGCUGAGUCAGUUGAAACCCCAGUAGAGGUUCCUGUUGAGAAGACUGAAGCUUAGACCUAUGGACAGUGUGAGUGAGAAAAACAAGUUUAAAAAUGG
This 433-nucleotide long non-coding RNA is filed under the name Glycine max (soybean). RNAcentral describes it as "long non-coding RNA (GMAX_LNC003380)". Lineage: Eukaryota; Viridiplantae; Streptophyta; Magnoliopsida; Fabales; Fabaceae. The record is from RNAcentral.